This 701-nucleotide ribosomal RNA is filed under the name Escherichia coli. Its description in RNAcentral is "bacterial LSU rRNA". It matches the Rfam family "Bacterial large subunit ribosomal RNA", at positions 2242 to 2925 of the family's 2925-position model. The record is from RNAcentral. Lineage: Bacteria; Pseudomonadati; Pseudomonadota; Gammaproteobacteria; Enterobacterales; Enterobacteriaceae.
GGGUUGCGGACAGUGUCUGGUGGGUAGUUUGACUGGGGCGGUCUCCUCCUAAAGAGUAACGGAGGAGCACGAAGGUUGGCUAAUCCUGGUCGGACAUCAGGAGGUUAGUGCAAUGGCAUAAGCCAGCUUGACUGCGAGCGUGACGGCGCGAGCAGGUGCGAAAGCAGGUCAUAGUGAUCCGGUGGUUCUGAAUGGAAGGGCCAUCGCUCAACGGAUAAAAGGUACUCCGGGGAUAACAGGCUGAUACCGCCCAAGAGUUCAUAUCGACGGCGGUGUUUGGCACCUCGAUGUCGGCUCAUCACAUCCUGGGGCUGAAGUAGGUCCCAAGGGUAUGGCUGUUCGCCAUUUAAAGUGGUACGCGAGCUGGGUUUAGAACGUCGUGAGACAGUUCGGUCCCUAUCUGCCGUGGGCGCUGGAGAACUGAGGGGGGCUGCUCCUAGUACGAGAGGACCGGAGUGGACGCAUCACUGGUGUUCGGGUUGUCAUGCCAAUGGCAUUGCCCGGUAGCUAAAUGCGGAAGAGAUAAGUGCUGAAAGCAUCUAAGCACGAAACUUGCCCCGAGAUGAGUUCUCCCUGACUCCUUGAGAGUCCUGAAGGAACGUUGAAGACGACGACGUUGAUAGGCCGGGUGUGUAAGCGCAGCGAUGCGUUGAGCUAACCGGUACUAAUGAACCGUGAGGCUUAACCUUACAACGCCGAAG